AAGAAUACGCUCAUGACAAAUGAUCAUAUAAUAAUAAUUUAAAUAGUACUUGUAUUUAUUUUUUCAAGAAGAAAACUUAGUUGAAUGAAAUUUGACUUAAAAUGAUAUAAAGGGUUUGAAUGGUAACCAUUUUAAUAACAAUACAGUUUUGUACCGUUUUGACAGUUACCAAUCACAAUUUUUUUAUCAAAAACGUUACAAAAAGUGUUUUACUCUCAGCUUUUUUUAUACAGUUCCUUUUAACAGCUUUGUACUAUUCCGAUAAAGCUAACAAAUAAAAAUUUUGUACAGCUUUUGGUUACCAAUAAAACCCAAAGUCUUACAAAAAAGGUCUUACGCGUCCACGUUAGCUUUCCAAUCCAACCCUUAAUUAGAAGUCUUCACCAUUUGCUGGUUA
This 397-nucleotide small RNA is filed under the name Arabidopsis thaliana (thale cress). RNAcentral's name for it is "ATSL259840". Lineage: Eukaryota; Viridiplantae; Streptophyta; Magnoliopsida; Brassicales; Brassicaceae. The record is from RNAcentral.